UUUUAGUAAAAUAUUCAAUAUUUAAGUAAUACCUGUCAAAAAAUUCUACAUGUUUCUCAAAUACAUAGCACAUUUUAAUACCCUUGCAUAUAAUAUUUAUUUUUAAAAACAUGCGCGAUAUGAAAUAGCGAGCGGGAUGGAUGAAUUUCUGAAAAAAAUUAAAAUAAUUAAAAAAUAUAGGUUUUUUUUGUUGAAAAAAUGACAAAUACUUUGGAAUUAUAUUAACUAGUGAAGGCUCGCGCUACGCGGCGAAAAAUUUAUGUAAAUUUUAAAAUAUUUUAAAUUAUAUAGUAAAUAGAAGACAUAAGUAAUA
This 313-nucleotide long non-coding RNA is filed under the name Ananas comosus (pineapple). RNAcentral's name for it is "long non-coding RNA (ACOM_LNC039435)". Lineage: Eukaryota; Viridiplantae; Streptophyta; Magnoliopsida; Poales; Bromeliaceae. The record is from RNAcentral.